Oryzias melastigma (Indian medaka) is the source of this 1509-nucleotide long non-coding RNA. RefSeq lists it as uncharacterized. The transcript is spliced from 2 exons. The record is from RefSeq and is a predicted model, not a curated record. NCBI's taxonomy places the organism in Eukaryota, Metazoa, Chordata, Actinopteri, Beloniformes, Adrianichthyidae.
AUGAAAUCCACAUAGUAGAAUUGUACUUUAUGGCUGUAAAACUCCUCAGUACACACUGAAUACAAUUUUCUCAGAAAGACAUGAACAUUUUCACACUUUCUCUUUAUUUAAACCAGGGGUGCCCAAAUCCAGGCCUCGAGGGCCAAUGUACGACAUGUUUCAAACCAACCUGCAGUUGAAGCUACCCAUUGGCUGAACAUUCCUGAUCAAGGAAGUAGCUGCUGAGCUGCAAGGCUGACUUUUGUCCAAGUGUGCAUGAAGAUGCAACGCCGCAGUUAAGCAACGUAUUACCUGGUUGCAUGAUUGAAGAUAAUAAAGCUGAAGAAUGCUGCGAGAGGUGAGAGUGCAGGAAUCAAAAGAGAUGGAUGAGCUGUUUUUGCUCGUCCACUUUGUCCACAGGACUUGAGCCAGAUUCAGGAAAAGGUACGGCUGCUGGAGCCUGAUAAGUGUGUGAAGGAAGUGGAGAGAGCGCUGGGGCAGGAAUCACCCUGCAGGCAGGAAAAGGACUGUGGAGGUGAUGGCUGGUGGAGGUGGAGGGGUCUCGGCUCCUGUCUGAUAGCCUGUUCAACAAACGCAGACAAAAACACGCUCGGCUCUGCAGGGCAUAGGUUCUUGUUCCCAUCGGCUAUUGUAGGGAAAGAGCACAGCAAGAGAGGAGUCGGAGCCAAAAGCAAAAAAAAUCUACACACAUGUAGGUGGAAUCUUGCUAAAAAUCUUUAAUCACAUGCAGCGGGGCAGCUGGGAUUGCAAACGAGCAGCCAAAUGCAGAGACAAAAACCACCUUUUACUUCAAAGAUUGUUUUGGAAAGAACCAGGAAGCUCCAAGAACAUUAUUUACUGUCUCCAGCCUAAUGUUUGAUUCAAAAACUUUUUUUUUACUCAGUUCCUGGAGACUGAAUUCAUGGCAACACUCACAUUUCUGCAUGUGCUGCUUUCCACUCUCCGAAGAGCAAAGGAUUAUGGGCAUUCAACCUAAGCAGACGGGCUUGCGUGUUCUCAUCCAAACAGCUAAAGGAGCUUUGACCUCAGCGAUGGAGCUACAGCUGGUUUAAAUGUCAGCCUGACUCAAACAAAGAGUAGAAAUGUGGAUCUGAGACCACCAACGUAACAGAAUUGAUGGCGUUCACGUGUUUUCUGGUUUCUUUCAAUACCUGUCAGAUCAAGAAUCAAAGUCAGAAAAAGCACAAAUCUGCAUUGCAUGUUCUUAAACACACUUGCGUUGUAAUAUAAAAAACAUAUUGGAACUUUUUGAAAAUAGCAUCCAGUUGUGGUCAUUUUGUGAUUUUUCUAACAGCACACACUGUUAAAAAAGUCAUGUCACUCAACAAGAGUCUUUUGUUUUUAGUCACUUGAGAAAACCUGAUUAAAAAAAAAAAAUAAUAAUAAUAAUAAUAAUAAUUGGACUACACACAUUGAUUCCACUCCUUGCAGCGUCCAUCCAACACUCAACAGCACUGGAACACGUCCACACUCAUUUCAGCCAACACCAAUAUUUGGAGCAAAAAAAAA